GCCUUCGCUCUCUGAGUCUUGUAUUGGAAUGAGUACAAUGUAAAUACCUUAACGAGGAACAAUUGGAGGGCAAGUCUGGUGCCAGCAGCCGCGGUAAUUCCAGCUCCAAUAGCGUAUAUUAAAGUUGUUGCAGUUAAAAAGCUCGUAGUUGAAUUUUGGGUCCGGUUGGCCGGUCUGCCUCGCGGCAUGUACUGGUUGACUGGGCUCCUCUUUUUGGGGAUCCGGGCUGCCCUUUAGUGGGUGGUCCGGGGAACCAAGACUUUUACUGUGAAAAAAUUAGAGUGUUCAAAGCAGGCUUUUGCUUGUAUAGGUUAGCAUGGAAUAAUAGAAUAGGACCUUGGUUCUAUUUUGUUGGUUUGGGAACCAAAGUAAUGAUUAAGAGGGACAGUUGGGGGCAUUAGUAUUUCAGGGCUAGAGGUGAAAAA
This 425-nucleotide ribosomal RNA is filed under the name uncultured eukaryote. RNAcentral's name for it is "SSU rRNA". It matches the Rfam family "Eukaryotic small subunit ribosomal RNA", at positions 488 to 918 of the family's 1831-position model. The record is from RNAcentral.